CCGAGUCUAGUUCCUUCGAUAUCAAUGUAAUCUAGUAAUCAUGAUUUUUUUUUUGUUACUAGAUUACAUUGAUAUCGAAGAAACUAGACUCA
RNAcentral lists this microRNA precursor (92 nucleotides) under Paramuricea clavata. Lineage: Eukaryota; Metazoa; Cnidaria; Anthozoa; Malacalcyonacea; Plexauridae. The record is from RNAcentral.